Molecule: RNA transcript, 4307 nt
Organism: Manacus vitellinus (golden-collared manakin)
Lineage: Eukaryota; Metazoa; Chordata; Aves; Passeriformes; Pipridae
Gene: SNAP47
Gene name: synaptosome associated protein 47
Exons: 6
Source: RefSeq, a predicted model, not a curated record
GUGUCCCUGCCCAUGGCAGGGGGUGGCACUGGAUCAUCCUUAAGGUCCCUUCCAUCCCAAACCUUCCUGGAAUUCUGUGCUGUAGCUGUUUCUCCCGGCUUUGAGAGCGUUGCCCUUGGAGAGGAGGCUCAGCCCGACGAGCUGAUGAACGAGGACAUCCGUAUCCACAGCUGGCCUUGCUCCUACUACCUGGACACUGGGAAGCAAUGGAUCUCUGGGAGACUCUCCCUGACUCCCAUUGGGAUCAAAUUCACAGCUGACAAAACCGGGGAGCUCUUGGUCGACUUCCACCUUUCCGGGAUCAGCGAGAUCAAGAAGGAAUCUUCCAACCUCAUCUUCAGCUCCCUCACCAUCCUGGAGAAGAGCACCAAGCACUGGUUCAGCUCCCUGCAGCCCAACAGGAAUGUGGUGUUCAACAUCCUGGAGCACUUCUGGAGGGAGCAGCUGCUGGAGGGCCGAGGGGCGGGAGCGGAAGGAGCGGCCGCGCGGCCCGGGAAGGGCAAGGAACUGACGGGAAUGUUGGCGGGAUCCCAGAAACGCCUGGAGGACACGGCCAAGGUGCUGCACUACCAGGGGGAGCAGUUUGACAACAUCAUGAAAGGGCUCAACAAGAUCGAGGGGGACAUGGAUGUGGCCGACAGGUUGUUGACAGAGCUGGAAUCUCCUUCCUGGUGGCCCUUCAGCAGCAAACUCUGGAAAACACCUCUGGAAUCCAAGCCCAAGGAAGCGGCCGCAGCUUCCGAGCCCAAGAACCAGGAAGGCGUCAUCCUGAGAAUUCCAGUCAUUAUCACCCACAGAACAGACUCCAGUGCCAAGCCAGGAAAACUCACCCUCUUUGCUUCUGGCCUGGAGAUCAGUGACUGCAAUUCCCAGGUGAUCCACAGGUUUGAAUCCCGGGAUGUGGAUGAUAUCCGGGUGCACACUCCCUACGAGAUCAGCGUCCGCCAGAGGUUUAUUGGGAAGCCCGACACGUCCUACAGGCUCCUGUCAGCCAAGAUGCCAGAGGUCAUUCCCCUCCUGGAGAUGCAGUUCAGCAAGAAGAUGCAGUUCCUGGAGGAUGCCUUGGGAUUUGUGGGAGCCAGGAAGUCUCCUCAGGUGGAUUUGGGGACGUCCAUCUGGCAGGCGGCCACAGGACUCCUGGGAGGGGUGGUGCAGCCUGGAUCUCCAGCAGGAAGCAGGGAAGGGAUGGACAAUGAGCAGGUUCAGCUGCAGCAGCACGAGAAGGUCUCCCAGGAAGAGGCAAAAGAGCUGAGACAGAUCCUGAAGAAGCUGAAGGGCCUCGCCCUGGAGACGGAAGCAGAGCUGGAAAGGCAGGAUGAGGCCCUGGAUUCCAUCAGCAGCUCCGUGGACAGGGCCACGCUGACCAUCGACAAGCAGAACCGCAGGAUGAAGAGGCUCACGUAGCCCUGGGAAUGGGAAUGGGAAUGGGAAGAAGAGGAGGAGCAGGGAGCUGGAUUCAUCCACACUGUUCCUGCAGGGACACUUUGGUUGCCUGGGAGGUGUUUGGGAACACCUUGGAAUUCUGUGCUGCUGGUGUGGACUUCCUGAAAGUUGGGAGUUCCUGAAGGUUUGGUUUUCCUGAAGGUUUGGUUUUCCUGAGAGCUUGGAAUUCCUGAGGGUUUGGGAAGUGUUUCCAGGUGGUUUAGGAUGAAAAAAAGGGAAAACUUUUAACCCUGGGAGUGAAUCCUUCCCUACAGAACCCGUGUAAAUAGGAAGGGAUGUGACCGACCCUGACCCGACUUGGAUGUUGCUUUUUUAUGUUGCUACUUCUGAGGGGUUUUUUUUUAGGGGGGUAUUUGUAGCCCUGGAGCCAUGGGAAUGGGAAUGGGAAUGGGAAGAAUAGGAGGAGCAGGGAGCUGGAUUCAUCCACACUGUUCCUGCAGGGACACUUUGAUUGCCUGGGAGAUGUUUGGGAACACCUUGGUGUCCCUGGAAUUCUGUGCUGCUGCUGUGGAGUUCCUGAAGGUUUGGUUUUCCUGAAGGUUUGGUUUUCCUGAGGGCUUGGAAUUCCUGAGGGUUUAGGAAGUGUUUCCAGGUGUUUUAGGAUGAAAAAGGGGAAAACUUUUAACCCUGGGAGUGAAUCCUUCCCUACAGAACCCGUGUAAAUAGGAAGGGAUGUGACCGACCCUGACCCGACUUGGAUGUUGCUUUUUUAUGUUGCUGCUUCCAAGGGUUUUUUUGGGGGGGGGUAUUUGUAACCCUGGAGCCCUGGGAAUGGGAAUGGGAAUGGGAAGAAGAGGAGGAGCAGGGGGCUGGAUUCAUCCACACUGUUCCUGCAUGGACACUGAUUGCCUGGGAGGUGUUUGGGAACACCUUGGAUUUCUGUGCUGCUGGUGUGGACUUCCUGAAGGUUUGGUUUUCCUGAGGGUUUGGAAUUCCUGAGGGUUUAGGAAGUAUUUCCAGGUGUUUUAGGAUGAAAAAGGGGAAAACUUUUAACCCUGGGAGUGAAUCCUUCCCUACAGAACCCGUGUAAAUAGGAAGGGAUGUGACUGACCCUGACCUGACUUGGAUGUUGCUUUUUUAUGUUGCUGCUUCCAAGGGUUUUUUUGGGGGGGUAUUUGUAGCCCUGGAGCCAUGGGAAUGGGAAUGGGAAGAAUAGGAGGAGCAGGGAGCUGGAUUCAUCCACACUGUUCCUGCAGGGACACUUUGAUUGCCUGGGAGAUGUUUGGGAACACCUUGGUGUCCCUGGAAUUCUGUGCUGCUGCUGUGGAGUUCCUGAAGGUGGGGAGUUCCUGAAGGUUUGAUUUUCCUGAGGGCUAGGAAUUCCUGAGGGUUUAGGAAGUAUUUCCAGGUAUUUUAGGAUGAAAAAGGGGAAAACUUUUAACCCUGGGAGUGAAUCCUUCCCUACAGAACCCGUGUAAAUAGGAAGGGAUGUGACCGACCCUGACCCAACUUGGAUGUUGCUUUUUUAUGUUGCUGCUUCUGAGGGGUUUUUUUUUUAGGGGGGUAUUUGUAGCCCUGGAGCCCUGGGAAUGGGAAUGGGAAUGGGAAUGGGAAUGGGAAGAAGAGGAGGAGCAAGGAGCUGGAUUCAUCCACACUGUUCCUGCAGGGACACUUUGAUUGCCUGGGAGGUGUUUGGGAACACCUUGGUGUCCCUGGAAUUCUGUGCUGCUGGUGUGGACUUCCUGAGGGUUUGGUUUUCCUGAGGGUUUGGUUUUCCUGAGGGCUAGGAAUUCCUGAGGGUUUGGGAAGUGUUUCCAGGUGUUUUAGGAUGAAAAAGGGGAAGACCUUUAACCCUGGGAGUGAAUCCUUCCCUACAGAACCCGUGUAAAUAGGAAGGGAUGUGACUGACCCUGACCCAACUUGGAUGUUGCUUUUUUAUGUUGCUGCUUCUGAGGGGUUUUUUUGGGGGGGGGUAUUUGUAACCCUGGAGCCCUGGGAAUGGGAAUGGGAAUGGGAAUGGGAAGAAGAGGAGGAGCAGGGGGCUGGAUUCAUCCACACUGUUCCUGCACUGACACUGAUUGCCUGGGAGGUGUUUGGGAACACCUUGGAUUUCUGUGCUGCUGGUGUGGACUUCCUGAAGGUUUGGUUUUCCUGAGGGUUUGGAAUUCCUGAGGGUUUAGGAAGUAUUUCCAGGUGUUUUAGGAUGAAAAAGGGGAAAACUUUUAACCCUGGGAGUGGCUCCUUCCCUACAGAACCCGUGUAAAUAGGAAGGGAUGUGACUGACCCUGACCCGACUUGGAUGUUGCUUUUUUAUGUUGCUGCUUCUGAGGGGUUUUUUUUGGGGGGGGUUAUUUUUUAGUGAAAGGAGCUGCUUGGGACAAUAAUUUCGAUUAUUACAACCAAUUAAUUCCCUCCCAAGGUCCUUUAAAACACUUAAUAUCUGAAUUAAAGCCCAAAUACCCAACUGAGGCUUUUUUGGGGGGGUGACUUAAUGCUCAGGUGAGCAAAUGAUGGGGAUAAAAACCUCGUGUUCCCUCAGCAAAUGCUUUUAAUUCUGCUUUUAAUUCACCCAGAAAUGAAUUUAUGAGAACCUUGAAGACUUUGGGGGAAGAUUUGAUGGUCCUGGUACAUCAUUUUUUGGCUUCCUUAUUUAUUUAUUAGCACUAAGUGCUGACAAAACAUUUCAGGAGUUCUUCUUAUUUCAACUUCUUUUUCUCCAAUAAAAAAGGGACUAAUGGCAAGUAGUGUCCUUUGGAAUUUCCAGUUGGGAAUAUAGGACAGGAGAGGCCUUUCCCUCUCCUUGAUUGUUGAUAUAUAUAGGAAAGAUUCCAGGUAAUCCAUAGAAAACUCCCACUUCAUCGAUUCCCAGUUGAUUUCUCCCCUUUACCACUUAUUUAAUUCAAAAUAUUUGGUGCAAUAUGUCC